AUCACAGUUCUAAUCCUAGCCCCAGCAGCUUGAAAAAUACAUGGGGGUUCAGACAUUUGGUGUAUGUGCUUGGCUGAGGAGCCAAUGGGGCGAAGCUACCAUCUGUGGGAUUAUUACUGAACACCUCUAAGUCAGAAUCCCGCCCAGGCGGAACGCGCCGGCGGGCCGUCGGGCGCGCUCCGGCGCGUGCGGCGCGCCCCGCCGCGCGUCGGGACCGGGGUCCGGUGCGGAGAGCCCUUCGUCCCGGGAGCCGGGAUGCGGCCGGAAAGGGGGCCGCUCCCUCGCCCGUCACCCAACGCACGUUCGUGGGGAAACCUGGUGCUAAACCAUUCGUAGACGACCUGCUUCUGGGUCGGGGUUUCGUACGUAGCAGAGCAGCUCCCUCGCUGCGAUCUAUUGAGAGUCAGCCCUCGACACAAGGAUUU
This 425-nucleotide non-coding RNA is filed under the name Tupaia belangeri chinensis (Chinese tree shrew). RNAcentral describes it as "Tupaia chinensis (Chinese tree shrew) Eukaryotic large subunit ribosomal RNA". It matches the Rfam family "Eukaryotic large subunit ribosomal RNA", at positions 3026 to 3399 of the family's 3401-position model. Lineage: Eukaryota; Metazoa; Chordata; Mammalia; Scandentia; Tupaiidae. The record is from Rfam by way of RNAcentral.